This 290-nucleotide long non-coding RNA is filed under the name Elaeis guineensis (African oil palm). Its description in RNAcentral is "long non-coding RNA (EGUI_LNC077363)". The record is from RNAcentral. Lineage: Eukaryota; Viridiplantae; Streptophyta; Magnoliopsida; Arecales; Arecaceae.
GUAGGCCAUAUGGGUUGGUUGUCCUUUUAACCAAAGAGUGUGAAGAUACUAGUAUAGCAUACAGAUGAGAUGUAAGGGUACAUCAUCAUUGAACGUGACCAACUCCAGAGCAUUCUACUAUCGAGAAUGUCUCUAAUAGGAUAUAGGUAUAAGUGUCCCUUAGACCUGAGACUACCUCAGUGACUUACAAGUAACUCACUGUACUUUGAUACUGGACUAACUGAAUUUCUAAUUCAGUGAAGGAAUGCUUCUAAGCAUAGUCAAGUACUUGCAAAAUUGGAGUGUGAUCA